GCUGGGCAUAGUGGCCCAUGCCUAUAGUCCCAGCUACUAAGGAGGCUGAGGCAGGAGGAUCGCUUGAGCCCAGGAGUUCUGGGCUUCAGUGAGCUAUGAUGGUGCCACUGCACUCCAGCCUGUGCCACAGAGCAAUGCCCUGCCUCAG
Gorilla gorilla gorilla (western lowland gorilla) is the source of this 148-nucleotide non-coding RNA. It matches the Rfam family "Metazoan signal recognition particle RNA". From Rfam's summary of the family: The signal recognition particle (SRP) is a universally conserved ribonucleoprotein. It is involved in the co-translational targeting of proteins to membranes. The record is from Rfam. NCBI's taxonomy places the organism in Eukaryota, Metazoa, Chordata, Mammalia, Primates, Hominidae.